AGCUCCACCUUCCCCUGCAGCAAUAGCCAGGCCCUAAAACACCGAGCUCCGCUGCAUCUCAGCGGGAUAGAUAGAGAGAUCGGAUUGCAUCUCACAAGCACACUUUAAAACAUGAGUUGAUGGAUGGCAUCCGUAGCCGAACCCUAGUAACAAUUGUGUAUUAUUGAUUGGCACAAUCAGAACCUAACUAACAACCACCUUUCAGUGUCAGUAGAUCUAUAGAUGUUGCAUCCCACUUCACGUCCUAAGAUUGUCUACAAAAACUUCACGUCCAAGUGACAGAAGCACAAAGGCUUCCAUCAACAAAAUAAUUUUUUUCAUAACAAAAUCUCUGCUAUAAAGGAUGCAACUAUGACGAAGAUAUGCCUCUGUGUUUACCUUACAUCAUCAGAAGUUCAAAACUAAUGCUAGAUUUGUUUUUUAUAGAGAGAUGCUAGAUAUGAUAAUACAACAAUAGUAAAUGCCACAUGAUCCAUUUGUGCAACGUGUGCCCUCCAAUUCUUAUUUAAGUGCUGGAAUAAAAAGGGCAAAGCAGUGGGACAUCACCACCCACCCAUUAAAUUUUUUGGAUAUUAACAAUAUGACUUUAAGGGGGAAAAUCCUCACUGAACAGUAAGCUCCCAUUGCUAAUCAAAUAAAAAUAAUUGAUCAAAAUAUGCAGGUUUGGCCCCUAUCCCAAAGCUACUCCCUAAUGUGCCUUAGUGGAAUAUAGUCUGCCGCAAUCAAAAGAUGAAAUAAACAGCAGCGACAUUGCAUUAGGAAGGUUCGUUGCAUACAUACCAGAUGUACUCGGCGACGAACACGGUAGUCUCAAUGGCGAGGGCCAGAACCUUCAACCCAGAUGCUCCUCCCGACGCCCCACACCCUUGCUGCCGCCGACUUCGUGUGGAUGGCUUACUUGUCCUGCACCAUGAAUUGGGCACGACAAAGAUUUUACAUUUAGGAAAAAUUUUUACCAUAAUGUGAAAGCACUGUAAUUAUGUGGCAUAGAAGGACAUUGACUUUAUGCUUGCAGAUUUAUCACCUCUAGCAACGGUUGCCAAAUUGCCACAACGAUAGAGCCCCAACCAGAUUACUGAUCUAUCUUAACUCUCAAGUAUUAACUUAUUAAAUGUAAAAUUCAGAUGCAAGUGCAGUAGAUUUAUCACCUCUAGCAACGGUUGCCAAAUUGCCACAACGAUAGAGCCCCAACCAGAUUACUGAUCUAUCUUAACUCUCAAGUAUUAACUUAUUAAAUGUAAAAUUCAGAUGUAAGUGCAGUAGAUUACUGCAGUUUAGCACUAACUGUACAACCAACAAUUAAGAUUUCAGAGGGCAAGCACUGUAGAAUAGCAUAUGCUACCUUCACAUCGGGUCCAUGAGGUGUCGUGCAGCCACUGUGCGAAACCGACAGGCUCAGCCACGGUAUGGGGCACACUUAUCUUCAAAUCCCGACAAUCAACAUCGUCCCACACUGGAAGAUGCCAAGGCAAUUCUGAACCUGACGCCCUACUGUUCUUUAAUCUCUACAUCCCAAAUCAACUCUGGAUCAACCAAAACAAUAAAAAAACAUUAGUAAGUACUAAAAGGGAAAUUAAUGGCCGAAUUUGGAUAUUUCUGCAUGCAUCAGACAUGCAAAAGUACUGAUUCUAGGCACAUGAAUCGUACAUUUGGAUGCUUGGACGGACUGGUUGCAUCAAAGAUAAUUAAGCUCUCAGUGUUAGCAAGUAUAAUGCUUAAAUACUGGUAGAAUCAUGUUCCUCACGCAUGGUGUUGCAAUAUUGCUUUUGGCGUCUAGCUCAACCAAAACAGCCGAGAUGAGACAACAAGGAAGCGGGUCAGUGUUGUACCUCAAGGAUUUUCCUUCUGAACAAAUUCAGCAAAAUAGAUUACCUGGCAUAUAAUCACCCAGUCGCUCCCAAGGUCCAAAGGCACAGGAGACUGCGACCGGGACCUUCGCAAGAG
Molecule: long non-coding RNA, 1944 nt
Filed under: Triticum aestivum (bread wheat)
Lineage: Eukaryota; Viridiplantae; Streptophyta; Magnoliopsida; Poales; Poaceae
Description: long non-coding RNA (TAES_LNC010301)
Source: RNAcentral